AGUCAUGUCCAACUCGGCAACCACAUGGAGCCUAGCAGGCUCCUCUGUCCAUGAGAUCCUCCAGACAAGAAUACUGGACUGGGUUGCCAUUCCCUUCUCGAAGGUAUUGUCCUGACCCAGGGAUGGAAACCAGGUCUCCUGCACUGCAGGCAGAUUCUUUACCGUCUGAGCCACCAGGGAAGCCCCCUGUUGUACUAAACUCAGAGCUAAAUGAGUCCGUCUGUGGAAAACAGCUGUGGCGCCUUCUUGUCUCGGGCAGGGAGGACCCUUGGCCUCUGCUUCCAGCCCCUGUCAACAUGUCCUGCCUCCCUGCCAGCCCAUUUGCUGUUACUGAAUCUUCAGCCCCAUCACACCCAAGACACCCUCUGUGUCCUUCACACCAGCAACCUCAACCUGACCAGUGUCAUCUCAGCGUUGCUGCCACCCAUCUGGUGCCCAGUCUGUGCCAAGGACUCCACUCACCACCUGCACAGUCAGCUUUCCUAGCUGCAGCCUUGUCCCCAGGGAGGAAGGCUCCAUCGAAAUAAAGAAGUCAUUUUAUUAAAUACACACUAGGAAAGUAGAUCGUUUUUGGUGGUGGUGGUAGUGAUGGGUUUUUGGUUUUUUGUUUUUCUCCAUUCCAUGGUACAAACUGUAGCAGUUCUCUUCAUUUCAUUAUAAAUUAGUUGUCUGGAUCACAUACAUGGUUCAUCUGCACAAGGACCAAAGCUCUGCAUCCAAAGGGCAACUGAGGGACUUCCCUGGUGGUCCAGUGGUUAUCUCACCUCCCAGUGCAGGGGGCGAGGAUCCCACAGGCCUGCUGCUGCUGCUGCUAAGUCGCUUCAGUCGUGUCCGACUCGGUGUGAGCCCAUAGACAGCAGCCCACCAGGCUCCCCAGUCCCUGGGAUUCUCCAGGCAAGAACACUGGAGUGGGUUGCCAUUUCCUUCUCCAAUCCCACAGGCCUGGGGGCCAAAAAAAUCAACACAUACAAAACAGAAGUAACACUGUAACAAAUACAAUAAAGACUUUAAAAAUGGUCCUUACAAAAAAAUCUUAAAGGGGGUGGGGGGUAACAGAUGGAUGCCACAAACAGCAGUGUUGGGGGCAAAGAAACCUCCAACUCACCGACGGAGACCGAUGGAGACUGGAGUUCCCUGGGGACAGAGCUGGGUUCCAUUUACCCCCUGUCUCGAGCUGAGCAAGGGCCCAGCUCAUCCUAAGUGCCCAGGUAUGGGCUGGAUUCACCAAGGUUCAGAUUUAAUAUCUACUUGGGCUUCCCUUGUAGCUCAGUCGGUAAAGAAUCUGUCUGCAGUGCAGGAGACCCAGGUUCAAUCCCUGGGUUGUGAAGAUCCCCUGGAAAAGGAAAUGGCAACCCACUCAGUAUCCUUGCCUGGAACAUCUCAUGGGCAGAGGAGCCUGAUGGGCUGCAGGCCAUGGGGUCACAAAGAGUCAGGCACGACUGAGCAACUAGCACUUAACCAACUGAACUGUACACUUAGAAAUGGUUAUGAUGGUAAAUUUCACGUUGUCUUUUUUACCACAAUUAAAA
Bos taurus (domestic cattle) is the source of this 1529-nucleotide long non-coding RNA. NCBI's taxonomy places the organism in Eukaryota, Metazoa, Chordata, Mammalia, Artiodactyla, Bovidae. The record is from Ensembl.